Molecule: ribosomal RNA, 517 nt
Filed under: uncultured bacterium
Lineage: Bacteria
Description: bacterial SSU rRNA
Rfam family: Bacterial small subunit ribosomal RNA
Source: RNAcentral
ACGAACGCUGGCGGCGUGCCUAAUACAUGCAAGUCGAACGGCUUUUCUAUGGAAGCUUGCUUCCACUGAGAAGAUAGUGGCGAACGGGUGAGUAACACGUGGGUAACCUGCCCAUAAGAGGGGGAUAACAUCCGGAAACGGGUGCUAAUACCGCAUAGUUUUCUUGAUCGCAUGAUUGAGAAAGGAAAGACGGCCUUUGUGCUGUCGCUUAUGGAUGGACCCGCGGCGUAUUAGUUAGUUGGUGAGGUAACGGCUCACCAAGACGAUGAUACGUAGCCGACCUGAGAGGGUGAUCGGCCACAUUGGGACUGAGACACGGCCCAAACUCCUACGGGAGGCAGCAGUAGGGAAUCUUCCGCAAUGGACGAAAGUCUGACGGAGCAACGCCGCGUGAGUGAAGAAAAGGUUUUCGGAUCGUAAAACUCUGUUGUCAGAGAAGAACAAGUUGGAGAGUAACUGCUCCAGCCUUGACGGUAUCUGACCAGAAAGCCACGGCUAACUACGUGCCAGCCGCCGC